This 465-nucleotide ribosomal RNA is filed under the name Vreelandella stevensii. RNAcentral's name for it is "partial 16S ribosomal RNA". It matches the Rfam family "Bacterial small subunit ribosomal RNA", at positions 338 to 795 of the family's 1533-position model. Lineage: Bacteria; Pseudomonadati; Pseudomonadota; Gammaproteobacteria; Oceanospirillales; Halomonadaceae. The record is from RNAcentral.
CCUACGGGGGGCUGCAGUGGGGAAUAUUGGACAAUGGGGGCAACCCUGAUCCAGCCAUGCCGCGUGUGUGAAGAAGGCCCUCGGGUUGUAAAGCACUUUCAGUGAGGAAGAACGCCUGGAGGUUAAUACCCAUCAGGAAAGACAUCACUCACAGAAGAAGCACCGGCUAACUCCGUGCCAGCAGCCGCGGUAAUACGGAGGGUGCGAGCGUUAAUCGGAAUUACUGGGCGUAAAGCGCGCGUAGGUGGCUUGAUAAGCCGGUUGUGAAAGCCCCGGGCUCAACCUGGGAACGGCAUCCGGAACUGUCAAGCUAGAGUGCAGGAGAGGAAGGUAGAAUUCCCGGUGUAGCGGUGAAAUGCGUAGAGAUCGGGAGGAAUACCAGUGGCGAAGGCGGCCUUCUGGACUGACACUGACACUGAGGUGCGAAAGCGUGGGUAGCAAACAGGAUUAGAUACCCCGGUAGUC